CAUAGUGUAGUUGGUUAUCACCCAGGGUUCUGAUUCCUGUAACCUGAGUUCGAAUCUCAG
Molecule: transfer RNA, 60 nt
Filed under: Pseudo-nitzschia pungens
Lineage: Eukaryota; Bacillariophyta; Bacillariophyceae; Bacillariales; Bacillariaceae
Rfam family: tRNA
About the family: Transfer RNA (tRNA) molecules are approximately 80 nucleotides in length. Their secondary structure includes four short double-helical elements and three loops (D, anti-codon, and T loops).
Source: RNAcentral